CCCUUAGAUGUUCUGGGCCGCACGCGCGCUACACUGACGAAUGCAACGAGCUUAUAACCUUGGCCGAAAGGUCUGGGUAAUCUCCAAAUUUCGUCGUGAUGGGGAUAGAUUAUUGCAAUUAUUAAUCUUCAACGAGGAAUGCCUAGUAAGCGCAAGUCAUCAGCUUGCGUUGAUUACGUCCCUGCCCUUUGUACACACCGCCCGUCGCUCCUACCGAUUGAAUGGUCCGGUGAAGCGUGCGGACCGUGGCCUUUGGACGGUUCGCCGUCUGUUGGCUGCGGGAAGUUCGUUAAACCUUAUCAUUUAGAGGAAGGAGAAGUCGUAACA
RNAcentral lists this ribosomal RNA (327 nucleotides) under uncultured eukaryote. RNAcentral's name for it is "partial 18S ribosomal RNA". It matches the Rfam family "Eukaryotic small subunit ribosomal RNA", at positions 1470 to 1796 of the family's 1831-position model. The record is from RNAcentral.